CAGCCGCCGCGGUAAUACGUAGGUGGCAAGCGUUGCCCGGAAUUAUUGGGCGUAAAGGGCUCGCAGGCGGUUUCUUAAGUCUGAUGUGAAAGCCCCCGGCUCAACCGGGGAGGGUCAUUGGAAACUGGGAAACUUGAGUGCAGAAGAGGAGAGUGGAAUUCCACGUGUAGCGGUGAAAUGCGUAGAGAUGUGGAGGAACACCAGUGGCGAAGGCGACUCUCUGGUCUGUAACUGACGCUGAGGAGCGAAAGCGUGGGGAGCGAACAGGAUUAGAUACCCCCGUAGUCCCUGUCUCUUAUAA
Molecule: ribosomal RNA, 301 nt
Filed under: uncultured bacterium
Lineage: Bacteria
Description: partial 16S ribosomal RNA
Rfam family: Bacterial small subunit ribosomal RNA
Source: RNAcentral